UUAAAGGGCCGCGGUAUUUUGACCGUGCGAAGGUAGCAUAAUAAUUAGUCUCCUAAUUAGAGGCUUGUAUGAAUGGUCGGACAAGAUGGAAACUGUCUCAAUACAAUAAAUAAAAUUUAAUAUCUAAGUAAAAAAGCUUAGAUAAUAUGGAGUGACGAUAAGACCCUAUAAAGCUUUAUAAUAUUUUUCUUUUAUAUAAAUUGUUUUGUUAUUAACAUAUUUUAGUGUAAAUAUUAUUUUACUGGGGCGGUAAAAGUAUAUUAAAGAAUAACUGCUUUUAUUUUGUAUAACAACUGUAGUUGAAAAUAAAUUGAUCCAUUAUUAAUGAUUAUAAAAACAAGUUACUUUAGGGAUAACAGCGUAAUUUUUUUUGAGAGUUCUUAUCGAAAAAAAAGUUUGCGACCUCGAUGUUGAAUUAAGGGUACCUUAAGGUGCAGCAGUUUUA
Molecule: ribosomal RNA, 445 nt
Filed under: Levisquilla jurichi
Lineage: Eukaryota; Metazoa; Arthropoda; Malacostraca; Stomatopoda; Squillidae
Description: partial 16S ribosomal RNA
Rfam family: Bacterial large subunit ribosomal RNA
Source: RNAcentral